UUAAGCGACUAAGCGUACACGGUGGAUGCCCUGGCAGUCAGAGGCGAUGAAGGACGUGCUAAUCUGCGAAAAGCGUCGGUAAGGUGAUAUGAACCGUUAUAGCCGGCGAUGUCCGAAUGGGGAAACCCAGUGCAAUUCGUUGCACUAUCGUUAACUGAAUACAUAGGUUAACGAGGCGAACCGGGGGAACUGAAACAUCUAAGUACCCCGAGGAAAAGAAAUCAACCGAGAUUCCCCCAGUAGCGGCGAGCGAACGGGGAGCAGCCCAGAGUCUGAAUCAGCUUGUGUGUUAGUGGAACGGUCUGGAAAGUCCGACGGUACAGGGUGAUAGUCCCGUACACCAAAAUGCACAGGCUGUGAACUCGAAGAGUAGGGCGGGACACGUGGUAUCCUGUCUGAAUAUGGGGGGACCAUCCUCCAAGGCUAAAUACUCCUGACUGACCGAUAGUGAACCAGUACCGUGAGGGAAAGGCGAAAAGAACCCCGGCGAGGGGAGUGAAAAAGAACCUGAAACCGUGUACGUACAAGCAGUGGGAGCACCUUCGGGUGUGACUGCGUACCUUUUGUAUAAUGGGUCAGCGACUUAUAUUCUGUAGCAAGGUUAACCGUAUAGGGGAGCCGCAGGGAAACCGAGUCUUAACUGGGCGUUAAGUUGCAGGGUAUAGACCCGAAACCCGGUGAUCUAGCCAUGGGCAGGUUGAAGGUUGGGUAACACUAACUGGAGGACCGAACCGACUAAUGUUGAAAAAUUAGCGGAUGACUUGUGGCUGGGGGUGAAAGGCCAAUCAAACCGGGAGAUAGCUGGUUCUCCCCGAAAGCUAUUUAGGUAGCGCCUCGUGAACUCAUCUUCGGGGGUAGAGCACUGUUUCGGCUAGGGGGUCAUCCCGACUUACCAACCCGAUGCAAACUACGAAUACCGAAGAAUGUUAUCACGGGAGACACACGGCGGGUGCUAACGUCCGUCGUGAAGAGGGAAACAACCCAGACCGCCAGCUAAGGUCCCAAAGUCAUGGUUAAGUGGGAAACGAUGUGGGAAGGCACAGACAGCCAGGAUGUUGGCUUAGAAGCAGCCAUCAUUUAAAGAAAGCGUAAUAGCUCACUGGUCGAGUCGGCCUGCGCGGAAGAUGUAACGGGGCUAAACCAUGCACCGAAGCUGCGGCAGCGACACUAUGUGUUGUUGGGUAGGGGAGCGUUCUGUAAGCCUGCGAAGGUGUGCUGUGAGGCAUGCUGGAGGUAUCAGAAGUGCGAAUGCUGACAUAAGUAACGAUAAAGCGGGUGAAAAGCCCGCUCGCCGGAAGACCAAGGGUUCCUGUCCAACGUUAAUCGGGGCAGGGUGAGUCGACCCCUAAGGCGAGGCCGAAAGGCGUAGUCGAUGGGAAACAGGUUAAUAUUCCUGUACUUGGUGUUACUGCGAAGGGGGGACGGAGAAGGCUAUGUUAGCCGGGCGACGGUUGUCCCGGUUUAAGCAUGUAGGCUGGUUGUCCAGGCAAAUCCGGAUAAUCAAGGCUGAGGUGUGAUGACGAGGCACUACGGUGCUGAAGUAACAAAUGCCCUGCUUCCAGGAAAAGCCUCUAAGCAUCAGGUAACAUUAAAUCGUACCCCAAACCGACACAGGUGGUCAGGUAGAGAAUACCAAGGCGCUUGAGAGAACUCGGGUGAAGGAACUAGGCAAAAUGGUGCCGUAACUUCGGGAGAAGGCACGCUGGUGUGUAGGUGAAGUCCCUGCGGAUGGAGCUGAGACCAGUCGAAGAUACCAGCUGGCUGCAACUGUUUAUUAAAAACACAGCACUGUGCAAACACGAAAGUGGACGUAUACGGUGUGACGCCUGCCCGGUGCCGGAAGGUUAAUUGAUGGGGUUAUCCGUAAGGAGAAGCUCUUGAUCGAAGCCCCGGUAAACGGCGGCCGUAACUAUAACGGUCCUAAGGUAGCGAAAUUCCUUGUCGGGUAAGUUCCGACCUGCACGAAUGGCGUAAUGAUGGCCAGGCUGUCUCCACCCGAGACUCAGUGAAAUUGAACUCGCUGUGAAGAUGCAGUGUACCCGCGGCAAGACGGAAAGACCCCGUGAACCUUUACUAUAGCUUGACACUGAACAUUGAGCCUUGAUGUGUAGGAUAGGUGGGAGGCUUUGAAGCGUGGACGCCAGUCUGCGUGGAGCCAACCUUGAAAUACCACCCUUUAAUGUUUGAUGUUCUAACGUUGGCCCCUGACCGGGGUUGCGGACAGUGUCUGGUGGGUAGUUUGACUGGGGCGGUCUCCUCCCAAAGCGUAACGGAGGAGCACGAAGGUUAGCUAAUCCUGGUCGGACAUCAGGAGGUUAGUGCAAUGGCAUAAGCUAGCUUGACUGCGAGCGUGACGGCGCGAGCAGGUGCGAAAGCAGGUCAUAGUGAUCCGGUGGUUCUGAAUGGAAGGGCCAUCGCUCAACGGAUAAAAGGUACUCCGGGGAUAACAGGCUGAUACCGCCCAAGAGUUCAUAUCGACGGCGGUGUUUGGCACCUCGAUGUCGGCUCAUCACAUCCUGGGGCUGAAGUAGGUCCCAAGGGUAUGGCUGUUCGCCAUUUAAAGUGGUACGCGAGCUGGGUUUAGAACGUCGUGAGACAGUUCGGUCCCUAUCUGCCGUGGGCGCUGGAGAAUUGAGGGGGGCUGCUCCUAGUACGAGAGGACCGGAGUGGACGCAUCACUGGUGUUCGGGUUGUCAUGCCAAUGGCACUGCCCGGUAGCUAAAUGCGGAAGAGAUAAGUGCUGAAAGCAUCUAAGCACGAAACUUGCCCCGAGAUGAGUUCUCCCUGAGACUUUAAGUCUCCUGAAGGAACGUUGAAGACGACGACGUUGAUAGGCCGGGUGUGUAAGCGCAGCGAUGCGUUGAGCUAACCGGUACUAAUGAACCGUGAGGCUUAACCUU
This 2900-nucleotide ribosomal RNA is filed under the name Klebsiella pneumoniae. RNAcentral's name for it is "bacterial LSU rRNA". It matches the Rfam family "Bacterial large subunit ribosomal RNA". The record is from RNAcentral. Lineage: Bacteria; Pseudomonadati; Pseudomonadota; Gammaproteobacteria; Enterobacterales; Enterobacteriaceae.